CAGAAGGACGGGUACCUUGAACUUGGAAGGAAACCUUCAUUUCACUACUACUACGAUCCUCAGAAAUGCUGCUCUUGUGAAGAGCCAAAGCUGCCAGUGUGGAAAGUAAGUCCUUAAGGGACCAAGCCAUUUGAAUUACAUUGUCUUUUGGACCGACGCAUGGCAAGAGCAUCUGCUUUCCUGUCUUGACUGGAGGCUCAUGCACCUUAUGUUACUAUUUGUGUUUAUGUGGAGUUUUGCUGAAGUGCAGUCUUUGGUUUCCACUAUGAGCGCUCCCAGAGCAUCCUGUCCACAUGACGGGAAAGCGCCCAAUUGCGAAUUGGGAGCCAACAGUGACUACAAUUCCCAGCUUAAUGAGAUGAAAUAUCUCAUAAACACAUAAAAAUGAAGUCACUUUCCUUGAGACUUUAACGCAUUGCCUUUAUUACGAAGAAUAACAGCGUGUGAAGUCUAAGUUUGUAAGUUAUUGUAGCUCUGGAGGUUACAGCUGGCUUCUUAAUCCAGCCAACCAAUGACACCCACUCAGUAAAGGUAACAAUGUGCAGCAAGACAGAGCGGAUACUGAGAUGUGGGAUGCAGACCAUCUGCUGGUACCGACUUGGUGCGCUGGCCUGGAUAUAUGAUGACACUGGGAGACAACCACCUUCUAAGCUAUUGAUGCUUGUUGAAUAGAGAUGCCUGAGCUGACAGACACUUACUGAAUGCGACAGAAUUCGGGGACCCCUGGGGCUACUGUUUAAAUUGUAGAUUGGAGAGAGGGGCAUAGAAAGAAUAGAAAGACAGAGUUUUCCUUCUGGAUGAGUUUAGCCAUCUUGCUGAAUAGGUGCAGGUGGAAUAAAGAGAAGAAACCCAAAAGACCUCAAAAUGGAAGUUACGAAGGGCUUAACUGAAAUCUGGGAAGUUGUAGUAGUACAAGAAUAUCAUCGCACACAAAUCAUCACUGAACAGAACUGCCGUCAAAAUCUGCUUUGAAGUUCUCUACUGCCCCUUUCUCUUCUUGCAUUGCCCUAUUCCACUCACCAGACAAAAGAUCUCUUAAGAAACAUGGCAAGUUGUUCAUCAUGGCCAUCAAAAUGGCUCAAUUUGUUGGGUCCUUGCUGUGUGCCGGGUUCUGAGCAAGGUGUUUUAUGAUUCUCUCACUCAUGUGAAUUUUCAGAAGUAUAUGAAGUAGGGUCUACUAUUUCCUCUGUUUCACAUAUGGGAAAAUUGAAACACAGACAGUUUAAGUAUUUCACCCAGGGUCACAGAGCCAGUAACUUGGCGUGCUAGAGACUCAGUGUUACCCUAACAGAAGAGGUUGUGUUUUCAACGAAGAUCAGGUACAGAAGCUAAUCUUUUACCUAAGAGAAUAACUCAUGAAAGGUGGGAUUUUAGUACAAAGAUGGACUUUGUGACAGUAGAGUAGCUUCCUUUGCUCCCUUCAAAUCACAGAGCCUCAGAGGACCUGUGGUUUCCACGUAUUAUUAGGAAACAUCAUCGAUAUUACCCUGAGACACGGGUGAAGCAGAAUUUUCUGAAUACAUUUUGUAAAAUAUGUUUUGAAACUGUAAAUGCAAA
Long non-coding RNA from Equus quagga, 1557 nucleotides. RefSeq lists it as uncharacterized. The transcript is spliced from 4 exons. Lineage: Eukaryota; Metazoa; Chordata; Mammalia; Perissodactyla; Equidae. The record is from RefSeq and is a predicted model, not a curated record.